UACGAAGGGGGCUAGCGUUGCUCGGAAUCACUGGGCGUAAAGGGUGCGUAGGCGGGUCUUUAAGUCAGGGGUGAAAUCCUGGAGCUCAACUCCAGAACUGCCUUUGAUACUGAAGAUCUUGAGUUCGGGAGAGGUGAGUGGAACUGCGAGUGUAGAGGUGAAAUUCGUAGAUAUUCGCAAGAACACCAGUGGCGAAGGCGGCUCACUGGCCCGGUACUGACGCUGAGGCGCGAGAGCGUGGGGAGCAAACCGG
Molecule: ribosomal RNA, 253 nt
Filed under: uncultured bacterium
Lineage: Bacteria
Description: partial 16S ribosomal RNA
Rfam family: Bacterial small subunit ribosomal RNA
Source: RNAcentral